CUUUUUAUCCCGAGUAGGACGAAUGGCAGUACUUCCAUUGAGUUUUCGUUACUGUGACAAAUUGAUAGAGGUUUUUAGCUGACGAUGGAAUCUUUCUAUGGCGCCAUUACAUUGCGGGUGGU
Molecule: non-coding RNA, 122 nt
Organism: Bombyx mori (domestic silkworm)
Lineage: Eukaryota; Metazoa; Arthropoda; Insecta; Lepidoptera; Bombycidae
Source: RefSeq, marked provisional